This is a non-coding RNA of Ictidomys tridecemlineatus (thirteen-lined ground squirrel), 452 nucleotides long. The record is from RefSeq and is a predicted model, not a curated record. Lineage: Eukaryota; Metazoa; Chordata; Mammalia; Rodentia; Sciuridae.
AGAGCUGCUCGUGGCAGAUGAUGGUCCAUACAGAUCCUAACACAGGAGACUAUCUCAGUUGAGGAGAACCCUCCCAUUCAGGCGCUCCCUAUCAGCUAAGAAAAAGCCUCAAAAGAGUGAUGUUUUCAGCCAUGAUAAGGAACUCUGUUAGUCCUAGCUUUUGUGGUCUUCAAUGGAUAUGGCAUAUCCCAGAGGGAAACAUGAACAGAGGACGACAGUCAACAUUUCCUCAACAUGUAAAGAGCUGCUCUCUCUUGGAGUUUGGAGAUGUAGAGAACUGGAAAGAGCACCACUUCUGUACUUCAGAACAUCAAAUGAAUGGUUUUCCUGAACCCGACCAAUACCUGAAGUCAGAGUGCAACUAUCUAACAAAAUCUGGGAAAUAACAGGACCUAAAAGAAGAACCAUGACCCAGUCAUUUCUUACCUGAGAUAAACAUUGUUGUUUUCAAA